Molecule: ribosomal RNA, 468 nt
Filed under: uncultured bacterium
Lineage: Bacteria
Description: partial 16S ribosomal RNA
Rfam family: Bacterial small subunit ribosomal RNA
Source: RNAcentral
GACGAACGCUGGCGGCGUGCUUAACACAUGCAAGUCGAACGGAAAGGCCCUGCUUUUGUGGGGUGCUCGAGUGGCGAACGGGUGAGUAACACGUGAGUAACCUGCCCUUGACUUUGGGAUAACUUCAGGAAACUGGGGCUAAUACCGGAUAGGAGCUCCUGCUGCAUGGUGGGGGUUGGAAAGUUUCGGCGGUUGGGGAUGGACUCGCGGCUUAUCAGCUUGUUGGUGGGGUAGUGGCUUACCAAGGCUUUGACGGGUAGCCGGCCUGAGAGGGUGACCGGCGACAUUGGGACUGAGAUACGGCCCAGACUCCUACGGGAGGCAGCAGUGGGGAAUAUUGCACGAUGGGCGGAAGCCUGAUGCAGCAACGCCGCGUGCGGGAUGACGGCCUUCGGGUUGUAAACCGCUUUCGCCUGUGACGAAGCGUGAGUGACGGUAAUGGGUAAAGAAGCACCGGCUAACUACGUG